Molecule: ribosomal RNA, 407 nt
Filed under: uncultured microorganism
Description: bacterial SSU rRNA
Rfam family: Archaeal small subunit ribosomal RNA
Source: RNAcentral
GUGCAGCAGGCGCGAAUACUUUACAAUGUGCGAAAGCACGAUAAGGGAACUCUGAGUGCCUCCUAAGGAGGCUGUUCAGGUGUCUAAAAAGCACCUGGAGUAAGGGCUGGGUAAGACCGGUGCCAGCCGCCGCGGUAACACCGGCAGCCCAGGUGGUAGCCACUUUUAUUGGGUCUAAAGCGUCCGUAGCCGGUUGAGUAAGUUCCUUGGGAAAUUUGGCUGCUCAACAGUCAAGCUUCCAGGGAAUACUGCUCGACUUGGGACUGGGAGAGGUCAGAGGUACUCCAGGGGUAGGGGUGAAAUCCAUUAAUCCCUGGGGGACCACCGGUAGCGAAGGCGUCUGACCAGACCAGGUCCGACGGUGAGGGACGAAGGCUAGGGGCGCGAACCGGAUUAGAUACCCCGUA